UGAACGCUGGCGGAAUGCUUUACACAUGCAAGUCGAACGGGCUUGAGGGGCUUGCUCCUCAAGUUAGUGGCGAACGGGUGAGUAGUGCAUCGGAACGUACCUAGUCGUGGGGGAUAACGUAGCGAAAGUUACGCUAAUACCGCAUACGUCCUACGGGAGAAAGCAGGGGAUCGCAAGACCUUGCGCGAUUGGAGCGGCCGAUGUCUGAUUAGCUAGUUGGUGGGGUAAAGGCUCACCAAGGCGACGAUCAGUAGCGGGUCUGAGAGGAUGAUCCGCCACACUGGGACUGAGACACGGCCCAGACUCCUACGGGAGGCAGCAGUGGGGAAUUUUGGACAAUGGGGGCAACCCUGAUCCAGCCAUUCCGCGUGAGUGAAGAAGGCCUCGGUUGUAAGCGUCUUCGGUCAGGACGAAACGGUUACGCGUCUAACAUAGCGGACGUACUGACGGUACCGUCGAAGAAGAAGACACCGGCGUAACUACGUGCCAGCAGCCGCGG
Molecule: ribosomal RNA, 499 nt
Filed under: uncultured bacterium
Lineage: Bacteria
Description: bacterial SSU rRNA
Rfam family: Bacterial small subunit ribosomal RNA
Source: RNAcentral